GGGUCUAUCGCACAAUGGUAGUGCACCUGCCUGUAAAGCAGACGCCCUUCGGGCAUUGUUGGUUCGAGUCCAGCUGGACCCAC
This 83-nucleotide transfer RNA is filed under the name compost metagenome. RNAcentral describes it as "tRNA-Tyr". It matches the Rfam family "tRNA". From Rfam's summary of the family: Transfer RNA (tRNA) molecules are approximately 80 nucleotides in length. Their secondary structure includes four short double-helical elements and three loops (D, anti-codon, and T loops). The record is from RNAcentral.